Molecule: ribosomal RNA, 468 nt
Filed under: uncultured bacterium
Lineage: Bacteria
Description: partial 16S ribosomal RNA
Rfam family: Bacterial small subunit ribosomal RNA
Source: RNAcentral
GAUGAACGCUGGCGGCGUGCUUAACACAUGCAAGUCGAACGGUGAAGGCGGAGCUUGCUCUGCUGGAUCAGUGGCGAACGGGUGAGUAACACGUGAGCAAUCUGCCCCUGACUCUGGGAUAAGCGCUGGAAACGGCGUCUAAUACUGGAUACGAGCUGCGAAGGCAUCUUCAGCAGCUGGAAAGAAUUUCGGUCAGGGAUGAGCUCGCGGCCUAUCAGCUUGUUGGUGAGGUAAUGGCUCACCAAGGCGUCGACGGGUAGCCGGCCUGAGAGGGUGACCGGCCACACUGGGACUGAGACACGGCCCAGACUCCUACGGGAGGCAGCAGUGGGGAAUAUUGCACAAUGGGCGAAAGCCUGAUGCAGCAACGCCGCGUGAAGGACGACGGCCUUCGGGUUGUAAACCUCUUUUGGCAGGGAAGAAGCGAAAGUGACGGUACCUGCAGAAAAAGCGCCGGCUAACUACGUG